GAUGAAGAACGUAGCGAAAUGCGAUAACUAAUGUGAAUUGCAGAAUUCAGUGAAUCAUCGAGUCUUUGAACGCACAUUGCGCCCCCUGGUAUUCCGGGGGGCAUGCCUGUCCGAGCGUCAUUGCUGCCCUCAAGCACGGCUUGUGUGUUGGGCUCCGUCCCCCCGGGGACGGGCCCGAAAGGCAGCGGCGGCACCGAGUCCGGUCCUCGAGCGUAUGGGGCUUUGUCACCCGCUCUGUAGGCCCGGCCGGCGCCAGCCGACAACCCAUCAUCCUUUUCAGGUUGACCUCGGAUCAGGUAGGGAUACCCGCUGAACUUAAGCAUACAAUAAGCGGAGGA
Molecule: unclassified non-coding RNA, 338 nt
Filed under: soil metagenome
Description: partial contains 5.8S ribosomal RNA, internal transcribed spacer 2, and large subunit ribosomal RNA
Rfam family: 5.8S ribosomal RNA (bases 1-120)
Source: RNAcentral